Long non-coding RNA from Brienomyrus brachyistius, 1603 nucleotides. RefSeq lists it as uncharacterized. The record is from RefSeq and is a predicted model, not a curated record. The transcript is spliced from 2 exons. Lineage: Eukaryota; Metazoa; Chordata; Actinopteri; Osteoglossiformes; Mormyridae.
UAAGUUUGACAUAGCCAACCCGGCGAUUGGCUCACGCAUGAUGGGGGCUGAAAUUCCAAAUGAAUCACGCGGGCGCUGAAACUGGAGACGAGACAAAGCUUUGUGUUUUGUUUAAAUACAGCCUAGGGAGUCAGUUUGGUCAACAGUGACAGGUAGUAACAGCAUAUUCUUUUUGAAUUAGAUGCAUUUCUUAAAAUGCCUUUUCCGCAAAUCUUGUUUUUGAUUCUCUGUCACUUUGUGAGAGGGUACAGUGGGCACUGUGCUUUUGGGCGUUUUCUUCCACUUAAUUUUUACGUGCUCUAGUGCAUUGGCAUCUCCGUUCUUGACAUUUAUGGUAUUUUCUUGUAUGUGCUAAUGGGUUCGUUUUUCCAUCCUGCAUGAUGCCAGUGAUUCGGCCAUUGGGAUCCGGGCGUCCUCUUCCAUUCAGUCACGCUUUCACACAGGCGCCUUGAAGUUGGUCUCGUUUUAAUGUAAAUUUCUGCCUGUUGUUGCGUUAGUCUGCAUCAUACAUUAUUCAGAGUUCAUGAAGUCAGUUUUGAUGCCUGAUUUCAACGUUUCUGGCAUAGAAUAAAGUCCUGAAAAACAAAGUAGAAUAUUUGGUCUAGUCAACAAUCGCGACCAAAAGUCGUAAGAGACCCAAAUGUUGGGGUGUUUCGGUCAUAGACUAUCAAAUGCCUCUGUUAUUUUGAUGCAGUGCUUCCUGGAAAGUGUUAACUUCAAAUGAGUUAGCAGUUUUCUCUGAAGCUGACCUAUAUGUACAGAUACUGCAUAUUUAAUGAGCUAUUUUUAAGUAUCGCAGCUUAAAUGUCAAUCAAAUGGUCCAGUAGUUUCUCUAAAACUAAUGGAUCGGCAAUUUUGUCUCAAAUUUCUUUGAACGAAUAGAUGAUGCUUCAGAUCAAAGUACAUGUAUAAUAUGCGCAAGGUCAAAGCAAGGCAGCUUUAAAGAACUGUAAAUAAAGGUCUUUAUUUAGAUUUAUUUCACUGUGGGAUUAUUUUUGGACCAAUAACAGUUUAUGUCCUAGUUAUUUUUUGCUUUUAGUUUUGAUAGUUCUUGCAGAGUAACAGAGUGCAGAAUAUGGCACAGGGUUUUGUACUGUAUAUAGAGUUUUUCCUUUUUGUUGCAUUAAUUAUGAAGUUGCUAAUUAGCGUUAGCCUUAAUGGGGUGUUUUUUCAGUGACUGGGGAGAACCAGACAUAAAAGGGUUCAAUCACAGUUUGCAGUGUUGAACAGGCAUAAGAGAUUUGCAGGCAAAACCGCAGCAUGUAACUUCGUCUUGGGAACUUUAAUAACUUCUGACCAAAAAAUGCUCCCCUACGCUUCAAUUUGGAGGGAGAGGUUGUCACUGGACAGUAAACGCAUCAUUCCAGCACUGCUCGACUGGUCCCUCCACCCCUCAAGGCACAAGGAAGACACACAUCUCGGCUCUUCUCUGUCCUGGCACCUAGUUGGUGGAAUGAACUCCCCCUUGAUAUCCGAACAGCUGAAUCCUUGAAUGUCUUCAAGCGACAACUGAAAACAUUCCUUUUUCAGAAAUACCUGAAGUAGUACUUCUGUAUUCUUACUCAGCUCUUUUCCUUGUGUGUGUGUGUGUGUGUGUGUGUGU